AAUUGUGGGAAUGAUGAAAAUGCUGAUGUUAAACCCAUGAAAUUUGAUUGAAUUGUGCGAAUAAUGUAAAUGUUAUUGUUAAAACCAUAAAAUUUGAUUGAAUUGUGGGAAUGAUAAAAGUGUGAUGUUAAACCCAUGAAAUUUGAUUGAAUUGUGGGAAUGAUGAAAAUGAUGAUGUUAAAUUUCAUGAAAUUUGAUUGAAUUGUGGGAAUGAUGAAAAUGAUGAUGUUAAACCCAUGAAAUUUGAUUGAAUUGUGGGAAUGAUGAAAAUGUUGAUGUUAAACCCAUGAUAUUUGAUUGAAUUGUGGGAAUGAUGAAAAUGUUGAUGUUAAAUCCUUGAAAUUUGAUUGAAUUGUGGGAAUGAUCAAAAUGAUGAUGUUAAACCCAUGAAAUUUGAUUGAAUUGUGGGAAUAAAUGAAAAUAUUGUUGUUAAAACCAUGAAAUUUGAUUGAGUUAUGUGAAUGAUGAAAAUGUUGUUGUUAAACCCAUGAAAUUUGAUUGAAUUGUGGGAAUGAUGAAAAUAUUGAUGUUAAACCCAUGAUAUUUCAUUGAAUUAUGUGAAUAAUGAAAAUUUUAUUG
This 579-nucleotide long non-coding RNA is filed under the name Lathyrus oleraceus (garden pea). RNAcentral describes it as "Pisum sativum (pea) long non-coding RNA (PSAT_LNC040889)". Lineage: Eukaryota; Viridiplantae; Streptophyta; Magnoliopsida; Fabales; Fabaceae. The record is from RNAcentral.